UGAAGAAAAAGUGUGGGAUUUCAAGGGAUGAAGCUAAUAAAGGGGAGAUGAGAAAUAUGAUACUAAAGUCUUACGGGGUUCCGGUUGGUACUUCGAGUAACGAAUGUCUACCGGGACGUCGCGACGGUUGUUACGGGCUCAAGGGAAUUAUCGAGUUGUGACAGGUACAAAUUGAAGUUCGAUGGCUAAAAUGUGGAUUGAGCAUAAGUUUAGAGACUAAUGGUGUAAUUUACUUGUUGUAAUAGCAAUUUUAUAUAAAAAGACGAAGCAUCUUGAUUCUAUAAUACUUAAACUACUCAUCUAACAACUUUUGGUCAA
Non-coding RNA from Theobroma cacao (cacao), 318 nucleotides. Lineage: Eukaryota; Viridiplantae; Streptophyta; Magnoliopsida; Malvales; Malvaceae. The record is from RefSeq and is a predicted model, not a curated record.